CGUAGGGUGCGAGCGUUAAUCGGAAUUACUGGGCGUAAAGCGUGCGCAGGCGGUUUUGUAAGACAGGCGUGAAAUCCCCGGGCUCAACCUGGGAACUGCGCUUGUGACUGCAAGGCUAGAGUACGGCAGAGGGGGGUGGGAACUCCACGUGUAGCAGUGAAAUGCGUAGAGAUGUGGAGGAACACCAAUGGCGAAGGCAGCCCCCUCGGGUCGAUACUGACGCUCAUGCACGAAAGCGUGGGUAGCAAACAGGAUUAGAUACCCUGGUAGUCCACGCCCUAAACGAUGUCAACUAGGUGUUGGGUGGGUAAAACCAUUUAGUACCGGAGCUAACGCGUGAAGUUGACCGCCUGGGGAGGUACGGCCGCAAGGUUA
RNAcentral lists this ribosomal RNA (375 nucleotides) under uncultured organism. RNAcentral describes it as "bacterial SSU rRNA". It matches the Rfam family "Bacterial small subunit ribosomal RNA", at positions 526 to 896 of the family's 1533-position model. The record is from RNAcentral.